GAUGAGCGCUGGCGGCGUGCCUAAUACAUGCAAGUCGAGCGGUAAGGCUCCUUCGGGAGUACACGAGCGGCGGACGGCUGAGUAACACGUAGGAACGUACCCCAAAGUGAGGGAUAACUGCUCGAAAGAGUAGCUAAUACCGCAUGUGAUCCACGGAUUAAAGCUUUAUGUGCUUUGGGAACGGCCUGCGUUCGAUUAGCUUGUUGGCGGGGUAAAAGCCCACCAAGGCGACGAUCGAUAGCUGGUCUGAGAGGAUGAUCAGCCAGACUGGGACUGAGACACGGCCCAGACUCCUACGGGAGGCAGCAGUAGGGAAUUUUCCACAAUGGGCGAAAGCCUGAUGGAGCAACGCCGCGUGCAGGAUGGAGGCCUUCGGGUUGUAAACUGCUUUUAUUGGUGACGAUUAUGACGGUAACCAAUGAAUAAGGGUCUGCUAACUACGUGCCAGCAGCCGCGGUAA
Molecule: ribosomal RNA, 460 nt
Filed under: uncultured bacterium
Lineage: Bacteria
Description: partial 16S ribosomal RNA
Rfam family: Bacterial small subunit ribosomal RNA
Source: RNAcentral